RNAcentral lists this small RNA (30 nucleotides) under Bombyx mori (domestic silkworm). Its description in RNAcentral is "ovarian small RNA-19890". Lineage: Eukaryota; Metazoa; Arthropoda; Insecta; Lepidoptera; Bombycidae. The record is from RNAcentral.
UAAUUCAUAUGCACUACUGGCUGUUGCCAC